CCUUUAAAGGCAUGAGGAACAAUGGGAGGUUUAACUGCAGAGCUUUUUCCACUGAAAGAUGACAAAAGAAAGAGAUUUCAAUCAAAAUCUCAACCAUACUCAUGUUUCAGGGGCUCCAACAUGUGCCACUGGAGGGCCUCAGUCUGCUGCCUGUGACAGGUGGAGCUCACCUGGGCCAAAGGAGGGGAUGAGGGUCCAUCACUCAGGAGGAUUUUGUCAGCAGACCCAGUCGCCACCAUUUCUCUUUCCAAGGAAUAGUUCAUCGCACCACCAUAGAGCGAGUCUGCCUUCGAGAGGGCUCAUAAACGGCAGCUUGUCCUCUCACAGCAAGCUAGCUAUGCUAAAGCUAUGGAGCUGCUACGGCACAUCCAUCCACAGCUGUGGAUAUAUUCUUCAUGGAGGAACUUAUACGCCUCAUCAAGUUUAUUUGUUCGGGUAUUUGCCGCUGCGAUUGCCUCCGCAUCAGCGAACGAAAAAGCUGAUUGGGGCUUCUCAACUGCUGGAUCGGAACACAAAAGUGGGUCGUGGAGCUGUUUUCAGUGGAACGCAGGGAUUUUAAAAUAGAAAGUGCUUUUAUUGUGAAAAUGAUUUUCAUGAUCUUAUUACUGCUUAGACAUCAAUUCUCUAUAAAUUUCUGAUUUAUGUAUUUUUGUAUACAGAUAAAUGUAGGUGAUUUGUUCAGCAAAACUAUUACUAUUAUUACUUCUGUUAUUUGGGAGGCAGCUUGUUUAUAAGGGCUUAAAUACAGUAUGUUGGUACAUCACAAUAAAGCAGUUGCAACUUUACA
RNAcentral lists this long non-coding RNA (787 nucleotides) under Gouania willdenowi (blunt-snouted clingfish). RNAcentral describes it as "lncRNA (ENSGWIG00000005345.1)". The record is from RNAcentral. Lineage: Eukaryota; Metazoa; Chordata; Actinopteri; Blenniiformes; Gobiesocidae.